CCCCAGUAACGGCGAGUGAAGCGGCAACAGCUCAAAUUUGAAAUCUGGCCCCCCCCCCCGGGGGGGCCCGAGUUGUAAUUUGCAGAGGAUGCUUUGGGCGAGGCGCCUUCCGAGUUCCCUGGAACGGGACGCCACAGAGGGUGAGAGCCCCGUCUGGUCGGACGCCGAGCCUCUGUAAAGCUCCUUCGACGAGUCGAGUAGUUUGGGAAUGCUGCUCAAAAUGGGAGGUAUAUGUCUUCUAAAGCUAAAUACCGGCCAGAGACCGAUAGCGCACAAGUAGAGUGAUCGAAAGAUGAAAAGCACCUUGAAAAGGGGGUUAAACAGUACGUGAAAUUGUUGAAAGGGAAGCGCUCGUGACCAGACUUGGGGCGGGCGGAUCAGCCGGCGUUCUCGCCGGCGCACUCCGCCCGUCCCAGGCCAGCAUCAGUUCGCGCCGGGGGACAAAGGCGGCGGGAACGUGGCUCCCCAGGGAGUGUUAUAGCCCGCCGCGCCAUGCCCCGGGGGCGGACUGAGGGCCGCGCAUCACUGCAAGGAUGCUGGCGUAAUGGUCACCAGCGACCCGUCUUGAAACACGGGCCAAGGAGUCGUCCUCGUAUGCGAGUGUUCGGGUGUCAAACCCCUACGCGGAAUGAAAGUGAACGUGGGUGAGAGCUUCGGCGCAUCAUCGACCGAUCCUGAUGUUCUCGGAUGGAUUUGAGUAGGAGCAUACGGGGCCGGACCCGAAAGAAGGUGAACUAUGCCUGUGUAGGGUGAAGCCAGAGGAAACUCUGGUGGAGGCUCGCAGCGGUUCUGACGUGCAAAUCGAUCGUCAAACAUGGGCAUGGGGGCGAAAGACU
RNAcentral lists this ribosomal RNA (836 nucleotides) under Aschersonia sp. JZQ-2014a. RNAcentral's name for it is "eukaryotic LSU rRNA". It matches the Rfam family "Eukaryotic large subunit ribosomal RNA", at positions 78 to 932 of the family's 3401-position model. Lineage: Eukaryota; Fungi; Ascomycota; Sordariomycetes; Hypocreales; Clavicipitaceae. The record is from RNAcentral.